RNAcentral lists this ribosomal RNA (253 nucleotides) under uncultured bacterium. Its description in RNAcentral is "partial 16S ribosomal RNA". It matches the Rfam family "Bacterial small subunit ribosomal RNA", at positions 524 to 776 of the family's 1533-position model. The record is from RNAcentral.
UACGUAGGGGGCAAGCGUUGUCCGGAAUUAUUGGGCGUAAAGCGCGUGUAGGCGGCUCGGUAAGUCUGCUGUGAAAGUCCAGGGCUCAACCCUGGAACGCCGGUGGAUACUGUCGAGCUCGAGUCCGGAAGAGGCGAGUGGAAUUCCUGGUGUAGCGGUGAAAUGCGCAGAUAUCAGGAGGAACACCAAUGGCGAAGGCAGUGUCCUGGGGAGUACCUGACGCUCAGGUGCGAAAGCGUGGGGAGCAAACAGG